CUGUACUAAUGAAAACUAUAAUAGAAAAGAAAGAAAAUGGGUCCAACAAGACAAGAUUUGGGCCCACAAAAAUUUCCAUUCAAGACAACUAUUCUUUUUGCAUUGUAUCAGUUUUAUGCCAAACUGUCAGGUGAACACUACAGGCUCCUUGAAGGCUCUGCUUUUUGUUGGUGUAAAUUUGAAAAGGGGGAAUUAAUAUAUAACUACCAUAUUUUAUAUGUAAAUAGAGAAGUGUAUAUAGUUACUGC
This 248-nucleotide long non-coding RNA is filed under the name Mytilus galloprovincialis (Mediterranean mussel). Lineage: Eukaryota; Metazoa; Mollusca; Bivalvia; Mytilida; Mytilidae. The record is from RNAcentral.